Long non-coding RNA from Taeniopygia guttata (zebra finch), 3568 nucleotides. RefSeq lists it as uncharacterized. The record is from RefSeq and is a predicted model, not a curated record. NCBI's taxonomy places the organism in Eukaryota, Metazoa, Chordata, Aves, Passeriformes, Estrildidae.
ACCGAAGAAAUCUCAGCAAUUAAUGCAAGCACGCAGGACCCUGGGAAAAGCACUGGAUUUUAACAAAUGACUGUGCUCAUACGCCGAUUAAUACCCCGCCAGCAAAAGCAAGAAAUAUCAGGAAAGAAGCAGCAGGAUGGUUCUCCACAGGCUAUGCAGACACUGUCUGAGGGACUAGGAGCCAGCUUCUCCAAGACUAGAACUCAGACCACUGUCCAAAGGAGCCUGGAGCUGGGUCUCGUUAUCCUACAGAAAGAAGACCUAUUAAGUGUGCAGACUGUGAAUCUUCCGAAGAAAACAUCAGUCAUGUUAUUGUUAGCACUUUAUGAACACCAGCUGAUCAUCAAACUUGCCCUUAUCUUCUUCUGUUACUGAUGCAAUGCCCAGAACUCUCACUGUUAAAAAAAUGAGAAACCCGGGUGUACAGUGAGAGGUCAUUUAUUUAGAUUGUGGAGAUUUGGACAAGUACUUCUCUUAAAAAGAACAAUUUAACAAGUAUUCAGCAAAAAUAAAAAUAAAAAAUUGGCCCAUCUCCUUUGUAAGGAAAAAAGGUUUCUCCUUUGAAAUGAAUACAAACCAGAACCAAAGAGAAAGGCACUGAAAAGAGAGAGAACAAGGCAUAGCACUGGCUGUCACCUGUUCUCAGAAUGAUGAAAAUACUGAGGCACCUUCCAGUAGAAGAGACUGAAGACUUUGAAAUGAAGACAUGCCGAAUUUUCAAAUUCUCUCAGUGUUCCCAUGACAUCUUGUGCUAUUUACUUCAUCCACUAAAGCUCUGGGAAUUAAAUGGCUAAUAAGAUUGGAAUGUCAAAUUUACAAAUACAAAGGGGGGUGAAUGGCCAUCAGGAUUGCAGCUCGAAUGAUAAUGGCUGAAAAGCCAGCAGAGCUGGCUUCACAGUGAGGUAUAUUAAUACAUUUCCAGCAGUGAAGAGAAGAGGUAGUACUACCACUAAACUGGAAAUGGCUUUCUUGAUUUUGUUCCUUUAAAUUAACGCAGAAGUUAAAACUUUCUUUCAAAGAAAAAACCAAAUCACUAACAAAAAUUUGCAGUAACUGUAGUCAGAGCACCUUUUUCAAACAAAAUGUCUUUAUAAGCAAUAGAGUAAUAUGGCUACAGUGGUGGGUUUUGUUAAUAUUAAAAAACAUAGAACAGACAAAUUGCAGUCGUAGAAAACUGUACAAAAACCAUCAAUGCUUCUAACAAUUAUAGUAAGUUUAAAAAGUUAAUAAAGUAAAUAAAGAUAUGAACAAGGAUACAAAGAGAAAAUUUACUGGCUUAUGAAAAUACUUGCACAAAGCUAUCGUCAGCAUAAUAUCCCCAAGAAAAUAUAAAAAUAGAUACAGAAUUUAUGCAAAUUGGCUCUGGAAAGUAUGUCUUUUAAUAUAUUUUAUCUGGCCUUAAAGAGGAUACUAACAAUUUAUACUUUGAACGAGAAUUCAUUUUGCUGUACUCACUCUCUGAGUACAUUGUUUAAUGUACUCAGAGAGUGAGUACAGCAAAAUGAAAUUAACACCUGCUGCAUAGACAAGAAGUCCUGUUACUUGCUGAUGAAGAGUGAAGCUCUUGAACACACGUACCCCUCAUAGCAUGGUCCAGAAGGCAGGCAAAGCACACUGACGUAUAGCAACACUAAUGGCACAUUAAUAUGCCUCAUCCUGUACCUCUAUUCCUUUAAGGCCAAGUAUAGAUUUGUUUCAUCAUCUCUGAAAAGGCCAAUACGAAAACUAAACCCAAGUCCCCUUCCCCUAGCUGUUUAAAUAAGAAGCUAUUUUUCCUGUCUUGUCAGGCAAAAUUCAAGAUGAUUUCUGGUAUAAUUGACAGUAUUUGGAAAUACAAUACAACAUUUCUUAUUAAACUAGCUUCUGAAUUGCCCAAAAUAUUCAAUACAAUCAGGCAGUGCGUCAAACCCCACACAGAAAGAACAGCUCAGCUCUUUCUGAUAGCAUUAAGAUGUCACAUAUAAAUAAAAUCCAAAUUUGUUAAUAGCAUUUAUGUGCAAAGUGUCCCCAACAUAUGUGGAAACUGCUUUCUCUGGUAGGCUUUGCAAGUUUGCAAAUGAAGUAUUUUCAAAUAAAGUAUUCAUAUUUAAGAGGCCAGGGAUAUGCACUAAUGAAAGUAGAAUGUUAGCUGCAGUUUCCUAACUUAUCUCAUAACUUCAAUUACAACUGGAUCUGCAUACAAAACCUGUCAGUAAUGUACAACAUCAAAUAUGAGAGUGAUUAAGAAAUCCCCAUAAGUGUACUGUUCAAAGACUAAAUAAAUAGGUUAAAAUAUGCAUAUCAAUUUUAAAACCAGAAAAUAGUAUCCAUGAAGACAUUACUAAGUUUCUACAUUCCAAUUCAUAACUUUAUCAUAGUCCUGAAUUCGUUGUUUUAUGUGAGAAAGCUUAUUCUUCAGAUAUUCACAACGCUCCUUUUUCUCCAGAAAUGCAGGAUCCUGCCAAAAAUACAAAAACCUUUACAUUAAUAUAUUAGGCUUUCAGACUCUUCCAAGAAUAGUCUAUUAUCGAUUAUCUUCUUGACUAAAAGGACAGUAUGUAAAUAUUCUCAAAAAAAUCACACUCUUUUCCCCUGGCCCUUUCUUAUUUCCUGUUUCCCUUUCCUUCAUGAAAGCCCAGAAGAAAAUGUUCUGCCCUUAUAUGCUGUAAAUAGAGCUGUUUUAAAGCAGGAAUCUGCAAAUAUAAAUGACACCCUAAUAUGUAAUUUGGACUUUACACAUGUGUUUGUUAUAUGUGCAAUACACCCUUCCCCUCAAAAAAGCAAUGAACUAGCAAGGACAUAAAUUCCAUGGAGAAAAAAAUGCGUAUUUGUAAUGCAUGUUUUUAAUGGAACAGAGAUACAUAUUUGCUUACUGCAUUUAAAAAUUAUGAAGAGAAACCUCUUGGAUUACACUGAAAAUUACCUUCUGAGAGUGUCUAAAUUCCAUGGCUCAAAAAAUACAAAAUUUCUUUUAAAGUGUAAGACUAUGUUUUCCGGUUUUAUCCAUUGGCUGUGUCAGUCAGUGAAUAUAACUGAACUAAUCUUCUGAAUGCAGAAUGCUAAGAGAUUAAACAUACUCUCAAAAGAUGAAAAUGCUCAACUCUUGUUUUUUCCCCACAUGUGGCUACUGGAAUCAUUAUUCUCAAAAAUGCUCGUUGGCAUGAGUGUAUAGGUUGUGACCUAACUUUGCCAAAGUUUGAGAAGACAAAAUAGACAAAACACAACAGGUACCCUGAGAUACUGAAAUCUGCCUAGCAUCAGAAGUAUUGUCUGUUUACACUCUCUUGGCUAGUCAUUAGAUUCAAUAGCAAUGUAAAUUUAAAAUACUUACAUUUUUCUUCUUCUUGUAUUCUUGCAGAACUUUUGAUAUCCUUUCCUGUUCCUAAUGAGAAACCACAGAUUUUAAACUUUGAGUGUGCUCCAUAUAUGCAUGUAUGUACUACAAAAUACUCAUCAGAAUUCUCAAUUCAUCAAUACCUUGUGGUUAUAAAAUUUUAGAUGUAAACAUUGUAUUUGAGAAAUAAUGAAAAUAUAUCAACUGUAACUCACUAGAAAUUAAAAGCUACUAGUAUGAAACAAAGAAACAAAA